Heterocephalus glaber (naked mole-rat) is the source of this 751-nucleotide non-coding RNA. The record is from RefSeq and is a predicted model, not a curated record. Lineage: Eukaryota; Metazoa; Chordata; Mammalia; Rodentia; Bathyergidae.
AGGCAGUGCAGAGCAAAGAUGUGGACAGCAGCUGUGGAUAGGUGAAGACUCAAAAGGCUGAUGAUAGCUAAGAACUCUUGUGUUUUUGAACAUAGAAGUCAAAUAAGGAUUUUGUGCGGAGAUUAUGCUUCUCCCUGAAGACUCAGUAACAGAAAUGCUUGAUUCAUGGCUAUAAAGAAGAUUGAAAUAAAACAGCCUGGAAUGCGAGGCUUUGGUUAGGGACAAGGCCAAUCUGAACUGCCAUUUUUCAAAGGAUUUCAAAAGGAUUGAGUAAAGACCCAUCACAUCACCAGUAAAAGAAAAACGAGAACCUAUUCCCCACUGAAGAGCAGGAUUCCCAGAUGGGCCCAGCCUGGAAACCAGAAGUUAAAGUUAUCUAAAAGUGAUAAACUCAGGAACUACAUGAGAUACUGAUGUGGAUCUAAUUUCAAAGGUCAACAGAGGUUCAAAGGGUGAAUAAAGGAUGGCCCUUUAAGGGUUGCUGGGUGAUGGCCCAGCAUUUUGCCCAGAGGAGAAAAUUUUGCUGCGGAGACAAAUACAAGUUUUUACUAAAGUUAGUGGCCAAGAGAGCAGGUAAUUUUAAAUUAAUGGUAAACUAUAAUGUCAGUUCCUAAGAUAAACAAAGUAAGCAGCUGUGACAGACUGAAGUUUAUCAGAGUAUGAUAGGAAGGUCAGGCGUGACAAAUGGGGAGACUGGGAUGCUGAGCUGGCUCAUGGCUGUUAUGUAACCAACAUUGCUGCUAAAUUUAAA